GCGCGAGUGGCGGAAUUGGCAGACGCGCGGGAUUUAGGUUCCCGUGUCCUAGGACGUGGGGGUUCAAGUCCCCCCUCGCGCA
RNAcentral lists this transfer RNA (82 nucleotides) under Actinomycetes bacterium. RNAcentral describes it as "tRNA-Leu". It matches the Rfam family "tRNA". Rfam says of the family: Transfer RNA (tRNA) molecules are approximately 80 nucleotides in length. RNAcentral also lists the same sequence under 1 other name. The record is from RNAcentral. Lineage: Bacteria; Bacillati; Actinomycetota; Actinomycetes.